ACAGCUAGACGGUCUCUCACUCAAACUGGAACACAGGAGUUUGUUCGGCUUCUCCGGGCAAUGAAGAUAAUAGAAGGAAUUCAAUUUUGUAUUUGCGCAGAGCAAGAUAAGAGGGAAAUACACAUGGAUUUUGAAAGCAGGGAGAGGAAGGCUGCAAGUCCUAAUCUAUGGCAGCGAGAUCCAAAGGAAGCAUCAAUUAGUGUCGUAUGGGCAGAAAUUCUGUAGCAGAUAAUGUAAAGGUUGUCGUACACCUAUCAAAUGGUAAUUUAUUUGAUUGUCAAAUCUUGGUAUUUGAUUUCCAUUAUAAUAUUGUUGCCUUAAAGAUCUCCCAACUGCGUGCUUGGCACAUUUGGAUGAUUCUAUCUCGGUUGAUCCCAAUCAGCUUUACGUUCUUGAAGAAAACGCAUUUCAGCUUCGCCCACAAUCAAAAUCAUUUAAUCUCAUCCCUGGGGAUACAUUAAUUGUGCUUGGACAUUAUUUUAUAAAGCCAUAUGAUGUCAUGGCUACUGUUGGUGAAUUCAGGUUAAAGCAAUAUAGUUUAACUCUACCUUUUAAUUUAAUUAUAUGUUGGACAGAUACACCGUUUCUAUUGUGAGCUAUUCCUAUGGUAUGAACUAUUUGUAUUAUGAGUAUACCUAGUUGCCAUGUUAAUCACUAACAUUGUUCUUUUUUCUUUUAGACUUGAUCACUGUGAAUAUGAUUAUAAAGAGUUGUUGAGGGUUAACUGCCAAAUCACAAGAUGUAGCAGUGGGGGACCACUUGUCAACUAUUAUGGGAAAGUCAUAAGAAUCUGUUUUCAUGUUUUGGGUUUUACUCCUUUUCUGCCAAUUAAUGUAGCUUCCAAAUGGAGGGAGCACUACAAGAGAUAUGGGUAUGCUCCAAAUCUUCGUAGCUAUCUUUUUACUGUCAAAUUAAUGAUGCAUAUAGUUUUUAUGUUUAAAUCUCUUCUCUUUUUCUUUUUAUCAUUUUAUUAAAGCAAAUAGCAAAGUGUACCUCAUGUCUUGCAUUUGGAGACAUUGCUAGUAUUUUUAAAAGAAACACAAGGUUGCUUAUAUAAUCAUGGUUUUAGAUAAUGGUCGUCAUGUUAUUUUAUGGUAUUAUUUAUAGGUUUUUAAGGGGUUCGUUACCUAUUAUCCCGUUAUUUAAAAAUAUCCUGUGACUUGUAUGGGUAACAACCAUUACAAUUGUUAACACAGUUAUUUGGCAUUAAGUAAUGGUAAUGGACUUUACCCCCAAUAAUGCUUUUGGUAAAAGAAACAUGCACACUGUUUUCUUGAACGUAUAAUUUUUUUACUUUCCCUUUUUGUUCCUUUUGAGAUGCACUUGGCUGUUACUUCAAGUUUCCUUUUAGAACUUGAGGUAACUACUGAUACUGUAUGAUAAGUUCCGUCAAAUCUUAAAAGGCCUUAUCAUAUGAACUUUUAGUUUUGAAGCAUAACACUUGUUUAUUUUUAAUUGAUAAACUCAAAUAGUCUAACGUGGUGUAUAUAUUACCCUUUUUUUUAUUAACUAUGGAACCUUAAGUUAAGCUUUCUAAGUCAUGAGUUUAAACCGGUCUUACUUAGGACUUCUUUGGCCUUUAUGGUAUAUUUAAAUGGACUCUUAGGAAUUGUGGAAAAUGUUCCAUGUGUAUGGUCAACACAAAUGAAAGAACUAAAAGUGGGUAAGAUGAUAUGUAUUAAUAUUCAAUCUAAACAUUUUAUGAGUUGUUUCUAUGGAAAGAAUUUACAAUGCAAUUUAAAUGAGUUAGCUUAGAAUUGAUAUUUUUCCAGAGAUUAGUUGGCCUAUGAUUCCCAUUAUCUAUAUUGCAUCUCUUUUUUGCGGCAAGUGUUCUGUAAGGUGUAAUAAAUUCCAUCUUAUUCCAUCAUAUGAUUUAUUUUUCUGAUGCUAUGCCUUUUUAAAAAGUGAACUUUAGUGUCCUUUUUAUAGGGGCAAUUUAUGCAUUCAGUUCAGUAUCUAUUUCUUGCUACUCUAAUGAUUAAUGUUGUGGCCUAAGGAACCCCGUCGACCCUGGCUUGGAAUGGAAGUGACUAACCUUUAUGCAGCUGAUAUGGAUGUUUUAGAGAAGAUCAUUCAGCAGUUCCCUAACGUAUUUAAAGGGGUCAUUGUUGAAGAGAUAUAGUCUGGUUUCAUGCAGCUUGUUUAUGAAGGAUUGUGCACAGUUUGUUUCUAAAGGAUCAUAGUUGUUUGUCUAAUAUCAUUAUCAAGUUGUAGAAAGAAUGAGAGACAUGAGGGCCUUGGGUUACCUCAGGCUAAGGUUCAAGGGACCUUUCAGGAUGUGAGGCAUACGUUUAUAGAAAAUGAGCUUAAAGCAAUAGUUAAUUUUCAGUCUCUGCAAAAGCAGCAAUGGUUGAAUCCAAGUCCAGUAAAAAGAGCAUUAAUAUUGUAAAGAGAUCACCAAUGAUGCCGUUAGAUAUAGUUUAACACAAAACACACUAGUGGGGUUAACAAUUUCUAGCUUCUUACUAGUCAAAAGAAAAAGAAAAAUUCUCUAGCUUCUACCUUCAAGCUUCGUCUUUGCGUAUGCACUCUAUGACCACAAUAGCAUUUUAGUUUCAUUCUAAAUGAAACUUGAUGAAUAGUAUAGUUUAGUUUAGUUUUUGGUUACCAUCCUAAAUGAAAUUUGAUGAAUAUAUUUGUUUAUUAGUAAUCUAGCUAAUUACUUGCUUAUUGUUUUGAUUGUUAUUUCACCUAUUAAUCAUUCUUUUCAAGUGCUUGAUUUGUGGAUAAAGUACAAAGCAUAGUUUCAACUUUUCCUACAAUUAGUUGCCAUGAAUGUUAAAUGAGUGCAUUUACUAUGUGCUUAUCUUUCCUAAUUAAUUUAUUCUUUCUAAUUGGUUAUUGGAUAAUUCUUAUAGAUAAAUUCUCCUUUUGUUGUUCAAGGUAGGGAAAUUCAAAGCAAGCUAAUGAAUGAGAGUUUCUUCAACGAUCAGCGUUUGCAUGGUGCUCUGCUCUAUACAUUUUACUUUGAUUUUGCAUGAUUUUUCACUUUUUUUUUCUUAUUCAUAUAUUUUUAUUUUGCAAUUAGGUGUGAGGUUAUAUCAAUAUAAUGAAAUCAAAACAUGACAAGUGGGUUUAUAGAAGUCUCACCUAUGUUUAACUUGAGAAAAAAUAUGGCUUUGUUAAGUUAGGGCUUGUUUAAGUUUUCCAAAUUUGAUUUGAAACCAGUCUUGUGGAAUUAAGGGGAGAUGUAAUUUUAUCUGUAUGUUUUAUAGUUUGUUAUAUAACAAACUAUACAAAUUAUUUCUAGCUGUGCCUAUGGAUUCUAAAAAAGAAAUAAUAUUUUUAGAAGGCAUAACUAACUUAAAAUAAGCUAUUGGUCAACCUUCCCCCUCCUCUUAUGCUUAAGAGUUGGUAAGGUGAAGUGAAAUAGUUCAACGAAGAGGAGGGAAAAUUUUAUUUCAUAUCUAGAUAUCACUAGUUUUUUGAUUGAGAGAGAUUGAGAAUGUGUGUACUAUGAUGUAGAGAGAGAGAGAGACAAGAGAGGCGUUAGAAGAAAGAGAGAGAGAAGAAAGGAUUAUUCACUUCUAUAUCGGAUGUUCGAUUUUGGUUCUUGUAGAAUUCUAGCUAAGAACCAGAAUUGAUAUCAAACUUUCAAUUCUUUAAUUUUUAGGAUUUGGAGACAAAUUUCAAUUUCGAUUCCGUUUCAGUUUUGUCAAGAUAUUCGAAAAUAUUAUUUUUCAUAGUUGUAAUUUCAAUACGGUUUUAAUUGGUUUUAUUUUAACUUAAAUUUUACUGAAAAUAUCAAAUCCAAAUUGAAGAAAAUAUGACUGUUUAAGCUUUUUGUAGACCUUAUAGCCAUGGAAUCUUAUUUGGCUGGAUGUAUUUUCUCUUUAAAAAUGUAAAUUCUGCAUAAUCCUUUGUCUAAAUGCCCAUCUCUUAUUGAAUUGUAUAGAAAUUGUUUUGGAAAUUGUGUUGGCAAGUGAUACAUGAAUUUUCUUAAUGUAUUCCUAUACCUUCUCUCUUCAUAUAUUUGUGUAAUGUUUGUUUAUCGGUAUAAAUCUAUAUCUAUACGAUAGUUUGAUGGACAAGACAAAUAAGGCUUUUAAGUCAGGAAAGAAGUAAAAAAGUUACUGAUAGAGUUUGUUC
Molecule: RNA transcript, 4089 nt
Organism: Manihot esculenta (cassava)
Lineage: Eukaryota; Viridiplantae; Streptophyta; Magnoliopsida; Malpighiales; Euphorbiaceae
Exons: 4
Source: RefSeq, a predicted model, not a curated record